This 76-nucleotide transfer RNA is filed under the name Desulfuromusa kysingii. Its description in RNAcentral is "tRNA_Val_TAC". It matches the Rfam family "tRNA". Rfam says of the family: Transfer RNA (tRNA) molecules are approximately 80 nucleotides in length. Their secondary structure includes four short double-helical elements and three loops (D, anti-codon, and T loops). Further hydrogen bonds mediate the characteristic L-shaped molecular structure. tRNAs have two regions of fundamental functional importance: the anti-codon, which is responsible for specific mRNA codon recognition, and the 3' end, to which the tRNAs corresponding amino acid is attached (by aminoacyl-tRNA synthetases). tRNAs cope with the degeneracy of the genetic code in two manners: having more than one tRNA (with a specific anti-codon) for a particular amino acid; and 'wobble' base-pairing, i.e. permitting non-standard base-pairing at the 3rd anti-codon position. The record is from RNAcentral. Lineage: Bacteria; Pseudomonadati; Thermodesulfobacteriota; Desulfuromonadia; Desulfuromonadales; Geopsychrobacteraceae.
GGGCGAAUAGCUCAGCUGGGAGAGCGCCUGCCUUACAAGCAGGAUGUCGGGGGUUCGAACCCCUCUUCGCCCACCA